GUGUGCUUAUUUUCCUUUUCGGCUCUGUUUUCAAAUGUCGAGCGAACAGGUUAGCCUCCUCUCGCGAGCUGUAAGAAACGUCAUACUUUAUAUUGAGAAUGUGUCGUCUGGAGACUCGAGGCUUAUUGGGAAUUCGGGCGCCAGAGUGAAAGACUCUACAGGUCCAGCAAUGUCCGGAUGCCGCCUCCAGCGAGUUAUAGGUUUCACGACAGAAGAAUGAUGGCUGUACCUAAAUGCCUGCGAGCAGGCAAUAACUGAGCUCCCCCUUUGAGUUGAAGCUCCCAGAGUUGAGAGACAGCACUACGCGACCGGUUUUUCAAGUCUACUGAAUGCGAGGUUCAAAAGUGGCCACCGAGUGGAUACGCAAAGCUGACUACUGCACCAUACUUUUCAUUGGGUCCGCAAAGCGUUUGGUAAAAUUCCUCCGCAUGUGGUGUGCGACCCCGUGCCCCACGUGGAAUCAUUAUGUGCUGGCGUUCCGUCAAUGUCAUACGUUCGCGCCACCUAUGCGAAACAGGGCUGUAGUGCUGAUGGCAGCAUAAUCCCCACUGAAAGUAUAGGCCACCGAUAUAUGUUCUUAAUACGAUGUGACGCAUGUAUAACGGCCUAUUUCGUGCCGGUCUUGAAGCUUUCAGUAUUAAAGUCUUUUUUUGUUUUUCUCA
This is a long non-coding RNA of Dermacentor albipictus, 662 nucleotides long. RefSeq lists it as uncharacterized. Lineage: Eukaryota; Metazoa; Arthropoda; Arachnida; Ixodida; Ixodidae. The record is from RefSeq and is a predicted model, not a curated record.